RNAcentral lists this ribosomal RNA (253 nucleotides) under uncultured bacterium. Its description in RNAcentral is "partial 16S ribosomal RNA". It matches the Rfam family "Bacterial small subunit ribosomal RNA", at positions 524 to 776 of the family's 1533-position model. The record is from RNAcentral.
UACAGAGGGGGCAAGCGUUAUUCGGAAUUAUUGGGCGUAAAGGGCGCGUAGGCGGCCUGGCAAGUGGAAGGUGAAAUCCCUCGGCUUAACCGAGGAACUGCCCUCCAAACUGCUUGGCUUGAGUCCGGGAGAGGUGAGUGGAAUUCCCAGUGUAGCGGUGAAAUGCGUAGAUAUCGGGAGGAACACCUGAGGCGAAGGCGGGCUACUGGGCCGAUACUGACGCUGAUGCGCGAAAGCCAGGGGAGCGAACGGG